GCAACAAGCAGCCUCUGAUGACAUCACUAGAGGCCACCAAUCAGAGGCCUUCAGGUCACAUGAUGGAGGUUUUUGUGUCCACACAAUGAAAGAUUCAUAUGGAGGAAACUAGAAAGAACAAGAGACUCUGCAGCUGCAGCAGGAAUGAGAAGCAAAGAAUCUGGUUCAGCCUGUCAGUGGCGACGGGAUUAAAACUUUCUGCAGUUUUUGCUGUCAGGAGUUUCCAGUUGGACAUGGAGGUGAGAACGAUUCAUCUCAGCCGCUUCACUGAAGCUCAAUGGGUUUUUCAGCUACAAUGCAGCUUGAUGCUGCUUUAGUUUUUCAUUCUGGUUUGAAGUUUUGAUUUUAAAACAUCUUCUGUUCUCUGAGGCCACCAGCUGGAAACAUGGAAGGAGAAAAAUCUGAACAUUGUGUGGAUUAAAUCCCUGGUUUUAUUCCAGAAUGUUACAUGGAAUAACAGGAACAGGAUUAAAUCAUGUUCUGGUGGAUGAAACUCAAAUGUGAAGGAAAUCAGAACAGGAGCAGCAGGAGUUCAUCCUGCAGUCGGUGGGUUGCUGGUUCGAUUCCCGCCCUCAUCGUUUGUGUCCCUCCACAGUCGCUCCGUUUCCAUCAACUAUAAAAACUGAGAAAUGUAACGGAAUAAACCCACUGAGGGGCUUGGAUGAAAGUUUUAGCGGUAGGAUGAGGAGGUUUUUCAGCCAAUCGAAACACUUUUUCACACCACGAGUCACGUGAUCAACAGCCGGAUGUUACUGCUGGGCGGAAACCAGGAAGACGGCAGGAAGUGUUUGGAGGAUGAUGGUUUGUUUUAGUUUUUUCUGGCUCCUCCAGAGCUUCACAGCAUCAGGUGAGAAAAAGCUGAGAGUCGUUCCAACAUGUUGAAUCCACCGCUCUUCUGUCAAAAUACAAUUUCCCAAAACGCAGCACAGGUAGCCGCUUCACAGUAGGCGGGGCUUAUCGCUCCAAGGCCUGAACGAGACGCUGACGUCUCCUCUGAUUGGCUGAUAGAUGAUGAGCGCUAGCGCCACCAUGGCUGAGUUAUGAGUUUGAACUUUCCAUCCGUGUCUGCCAUGAAUAUUAAUGACUUUUCUCUGGAGAUAAAUUAUUCACAUGUGGUUUUAAUUUCAUUUCUUAUUUCAUGGAAACACUGCAACAGUGAAAUUGUGUUUUUUUGACAUUAGCAGAAAACAGACUGAGAUUUGCUGACAGUUGUCAUGGAAACCUCCCAGAGUGACGAAGACUCCUCCAGGCCUUCAUCGCCGCAGCUCGUUCCGGCCGCUGCUGCAGCACCCAGACACCGGCGGCCCUCGGGGGCCCGGCGGUGGCAGCAUCAUGCCGCCGCCUCUCUGUGUUUCCUGCAGGAGAAGGAAGGCGGCGUCCUGCCGUCCUGGAGGAUCUGCUGUUCUCCACCAUGGCAGAGGGACAGGAGGACGUCCCAGCGUGAGUCUCCAGAGGACGGACACGGAGACGCCGUCCGCCUCGCCGUCUCUGCCUUCAGGCUCUGAAAUCCACGGGGCGUCGGACCGGAGACCCUCGGCUCAAAGAGGUCAAGGAGACGCUGAAGGUCGCCAUGGAGACGACCUCAGACGGAGCGCUGGACCGACUCCUCCUCAAGAAUGUGAACUAGAAGCAGCUCCACAGAGAUGAAAACAGCCCGCAGAGACUCUGAGCGGAGCUAGCGAUGCUAACGAUGCUAACAGGCUCCAGCAGCAGCUGUGGCUCCUAAACUCCUAAACGUCUCAAUCACGUCACUAAACUGGUUUCUACCAGAAGAUGAACCAGGGUCGGCAUGGUGACGCGGUUCCAGCGGCGCCCCCUAGAGGCUGUGUAGACCACUGCAGUCCUGAGUUGGACUCUGUCCUCAGGUCCUUUGCUGCGUCUGUCCUCCCUCUCUGUCCACUUCCUGUUGGAUGACUGUCAAAUUAAAGCAACUAGUGCAAAAAAACUGUUAGGUAAAUUGUAUUUAUUAUUAUCAAAUAUUUGUUGUUUCAUGUGCCUUUAUAAUGU
Long non-coding RNA from Xiphophorus maculatus (southern platyfish), 2007 nucleotides. RefSeq lists it as uncharacterized. The record is from RefSeq and is a predicted model, not a curated record. Lineage: Eukaryota; Metazoa; Chordata; Actinopteri; Cyprinodontiformes; Poeciliidae. The transcript is spliced from 4 exons.